CCUACGGGAGACAGCAGUGGGGAAUAUUGGGCAAUGGGCGCAAGCCUGAUCCAGCAACGCCGCGUGAAGGAAGAAGGCCUUCGGGUUGUAAACUUCUUUUCUGAGGGACGAAGAAAGUGACGGUACCUCAGGAAUAAGCCACGGCUAACUACGUGACAGCAGCCGCGGUAAUACGUGGGUGGACAGCGUUAUCCGGAUUUAUUGGGUGUAAAGGGCGUGUAGGCGGGAAAGCAAGUCCGCUGUGAAAACUCAGGGCUCAACCCUGAGCCUGCAUUUGAAACUGUUUUUCUUGAGUGCUGGAGAGGCAAGCGGAAUUCCUUGUGUAGCGGUGAAAUGCGUAGAUAUACGGAGGAACACCAGUGGCGAAGGCGGAUUGCUGGACAGUAACUGACGCUGAGGCGCGAAAGCGUGGGGAGCAAACAGGAUUAGAUACCCUAGUAGUC
Molecule: ribosomal RNA, 443 nt
Filed under: uncultured bacterium
Lineage: Bacteria
Description: partial 16S ribosomal RNA
Rfam family: Bacterial small subunit ribosomal RNA
Source: RNAcentral